RNAcentral lists this small RNA (30 nucleotides) under Bombyx mori (domestic silkworm). Its description in RNAcentral is "ovarian small RNA-27335". The record is from RNAcentral. Lineage: Eukaryota; Metazoa; Arthropoda; Insecta; Lepidoptera; Bombycidae.
UCCCGUCCGGUUAUCUGCGCGCAUCGCUCA